RNAcentral lists this ribosomal RNA (807 nucleotides) under uncultured Fibrobacterota bacterium. Its description in RNAcentral is "bacterial SSU rRNA". It matches the Rfam family "Bacterial small subunit ribosomal RNA", at positions 58 to 879 of the family's 1533-position model. Lineage: Bacteria; Pseudomonadati; Fibrobacterota. The record is from RNAcentral.
CAAGUCGAGCGCCCCGCAAGGGGAGCGGCGGACGGGUGAGUAACACGUAAAGAAUCUGCCCUGAAGCGGGGAAUAACUAUCCCAACGGAUAGCUAAUACCGCAUAAUGAUGGAGGUGGCAUCACCUCUUCUCAAAAGGCUUCGGCCACUUCAGGAUGACUUUGCGUCCCAUUAGCUUGUUGGCGGUGUAACGGACCACCAAGGCGACGAUGGGUAUCCGGCCUGAGAGGGUGUACGGACACAUUGGGACUGAGAUACGGCCCAGACUCCUACGGGAGGCAGCAGUAGGGAAUUUUGCGCAAUGGGGGAAACCCUGACGCAGCAACGCCAUGUGUGGGAUGAAGCAUUUCGGUGUGUAAACCACUGUCAGCAGGGAAUAAAAGGCCUUAUAGGCAUUUGAAUGUACCUGCGAAGGAAGCCCCGGCUAACUUCGUGCCAGCAGCCGCGGUAAUACGAGGGGGGCAAAUGUUGUUCGGAAUCACUGGGCGUAAAGGGAGCGUAGGCGGGUUCUUAAGUAAGGUGUUUAAUCCCGGGGCCCAACCCCGGACCGGCACUUUAAACUGGGAAUCUUGAAUAGUGGAGAGGUCAGUGGAAUUGGGGGUGUAGCGGUGGAAUGCGUAGAGAUCCCCAAGAACACCAGUUGCGAAGGCGGCUGACUGGACACAUAUUGACGCUGAGGCUCGAAAGCAUGGGGAGCAAACAGGAUUAGAUACCCUGGUAGUCCAUGCCAUAAACGAUGAAUACUAGGUUUUUGGGCCCGUCAACGGUCCAGAGCCGCAGCUAACGCGUUAAGUAUUCCGCCUGGGGA